Molecule: ribosomal RNA, 493 nt
Filed under: uncultured bacterium
Lineage: Bacteria
Description: bacterial SSU rRNA
Rfam family: Bacterial small subunit ribosomal RNA
Source: RNAcentral
UGGGGAAUCUUGGACAAUGGGGGCAACCCUGAUCCAGCCAUGCCGCGUGAGUGAUGAAGGCCUUAGGGUCGUAAAGCUCUUUCGCCUGUGAAGAUAAUGACGGUAGCAGGUAAAGAAACCCCGGCUAACUCCGUGCCAGCAGCCGCGGUAAUACGGAGGGGGUUAGCGUUGUUCGGAAUUACUGGGCGUAAAGCGCACGUAGGCGGACCAGAAAGUUGGGGGUGAAAUCCCGGGGGCUCAACCCCGGAACUGCCUCCAAAACUAUUGGUCUAGAGUUCGAGAGAGGUGAGUGGAAUUCCAAGUGUAGAGGUGAAAUUCGUAGAUAUUUGGAGGAAUACCGGUGGCGAAGGCGGCCUCCUGGCUCGAUACUGACGCUGAGGUGCGAAAGCGUGGGGAGCAAACAGGAUUAGAUACCCCUGGUAGUCCACGCCGUAAAACGAUGAGCACUCGGUGCCGCGGGGUAUCGACCCCGUGCGGUGCCUGAGCUAACGCA